Long non-coding RNA from Bubalus bubalis (water buffalo), 2737 nucleotides. RefSeq lists it as uncharacterized. The transcript is spliced from 3 exons. NCBI's taxonomy places the organism in Eukaryota, Metazoa, Chordata, Mammalia, Artiodactyla, Bovidae. The record is from RefSeq and is a predicted model, not a curated record.
AGGGGAGGGGACUCAGGUCUCCCUUUAAUCUUCCUUGGUUGUAUCUGCUUAUUAGCCAUGUUGCCAUAGUAGCAGAUGCUGUGGACGCCUCACUGGUCCUCAGCCCAGCUCUGAGUUCACCCACAGCCCUGAUAACUUUCACUUCCAUGGUCCCUCCAUUAUUUGCUUUUCUUCUUGAUGGCUUCCUCCAUGGGCUGCGGGAACUUGUUCAGUCCACAUGCAGGAUUCCUGGAAAUGCCUGAAAGUUCACGCUUCCAGAGGCACCCUCAACCAAGGAGAGAUGGAAGAUGACAGAUAAAUAGCUCAGCUUCUCCAUAUUUGGGGGGAUCUUCUACAUGUUUCCACAGAGGUCCCCAGCAAGAGCCCACAGUAGUAACACACUCAUAAAUACACCCUCCCUUGUUCGUGCUCCCUGGGACCCAUUCUCAAAUAAACGACUUGCACACAACCUCUCGUCUCAGGAUCUGUAUCGAAGCACAAACAUCUGUGUCUCCCUUAGGCUUUCGUCAGGGGACCUAGCUUUGUGCCAAGUAGUCGAACAGAAAGGGGGUUAAUACGGCACUGGUUUCAAAGGUGCUGGAAGAGCUGACAAGGCAACCAUGUGACAAGGAGACCACGCAGAGACAAGACCCAGGAGGAAGCCACAGCCACCACCCCCAGCUUCAAGUCUAGAUUCCGAGACUCGGCCUCCAGUCUCGACUGCGCCGCCAUUAAAGGACAAAAAGAAAGCACCGAAAAACGUUUGCACUUUCACAGAAGUCCUGCCAGGACCGAGGAAGGAGCAGCCCUUCCCCACCCCUCUUGGCUCACAACCCUCCCUCGCAGCCCCCGCCCCUCCCUCUCUCGGCCACUUGUUCACAAGUAGCUUAGCAGUUUUGAGGAUACAAAAACAGGAAAUUGUGCACCAGUCCUGACUAAAGCUAAAAACGCAUGAGCAAACCCUUCAUCGCACAGAUUUCUUCAGCUCUCAGAAAACGAGGGCCUUGAAAAAUCAGGCCCCCUGGCCGAGAUCUCUGGAUUUGCUUAAUCAUUUCCUUUGCAAAUGUGUAACUUCUUUAGCCACGAAGACGAGAUGAUUUGAGGAGGAAGAACAAUUUUAACUCAACACACUCUUGCUAAUAUAGCUGUGAUGCAUAUAAAGCAGAAACCCCCGCAUCUAGAAGGAGAAAUAAAUGCACAAUCGUGGUUGUAAGUUUCACCUUUCUUCUAUUAGUAACUAAAAAACAAACCAACAAAGGCAAGUUAGCAAAAAAAAAAAAAAGACCAGCACUAUUUAUACACUUGGUUUAAUCAAUGUUUAUAGAACAAAGCAAUCAAUAACUGCAAAAUAUAUAUUCUUUUUAAAGUACACAUGGAAUAUUUACCAAAAUUGACAUGUGCUGGCCUAUUGAGUAGGUCUCAGAUUUAGAAGGAGGGGUGGGCAGGGUUUGCUGUUGGAUUGGAUGUGAAGAUCAGAGAAAGGCUGGAGUCAGGGCUAACACGGAAGGACUCGGUGUUCUGAAGUCAAGAAUGACUGGUUCACGCAUAAUUAGCAUUUUGGAAAGAUAGGAGUGUGUGUGUGUUUGUAGCACUUAUAAGAUAGGAGUAUUUCUAUGUGUGAAUUAAGGUGGGAAUGAACCUGUGUCCAACUGAACAUGAAACAAUUAUUCAAACUUGGUUUCUGGAAUAUUCCCAGAGUGAAACAAGCCCCUGGUUUUAUCACUGUCUUCUCAGUUUAAGUAUUUGCUUGUCUUGUGAACUGAGUAGGCAUUAUCUGUUUCAGUUUGGAGUGGUGGACACAAAGAAAUAACUCUUUAAAAGUUCCAUGGUGUUGACAAACACUUCUGAAAAAAAUGAAGUGGAUGACCCAAUUCCUGGCCUCCUUUAUCAAAGAGGGAUUGGUUUAUUCAUUGACCAAUUGAGUAUCAGUUGUGAGUCUGGGUCUGGGAGAGUGAUAAGAAAAGCAGAGACCACUCCAGGAUGGACUCAGCCUUAUUUUUACAUACUCCCUUCAGAUUUUUUUUAUAUAGAUUAUUUCACAGUUAUGAAAGUACCUUGCAAACAGCAGGUGAUUAAUAAAAUGCAUAUUGACUGCCUGACUAUCCAGUUCAAUGCAAACUAUUUUGUAUUAUGCUUUGUUCAUGUGGCCAAGUCACUUCAGUUGUGUCCAACUCUUUGUGACCCUGUGGACUGUAGCCCACGAGGCUCCUCUGUCCAUGGGAUUUAUCCAGGCAAGAAUACUGGAGUGGGUUGUCAUUCCCUUCUCCAGGGGGUCUUCCCAACCCAAGGGUUGAACUCACCUCUCUUAUGUCUCCUGCAUUGGCAGGCGGCUUCUCUAACACCAGCACGACCGGGGAAGCCCAUGCUUUGUACAUGUAAGCUCUAUGAUAUGAUGUGAUGUUAUAAUCAUUGCGUGUACAUUCCACUUAUGUUUUUUCAUAAGAUGUGUGGCUAUAAGCUCUAUGGUGCUAGGAUUUCUCGUGUCAGUGUGCGAGCUUGGCUGAGCCACUUUUCUUUGCUGUACUGUCGUGCAUAGAAUUACUACAGAUCACUCUGCUUUGAACUCCACCACAGUGAGUCGUUCUAUAUAUUGUGUUUUGCCUUUUUUGUAAAUUUCCUAAAAUGAUCAUAGACUAUGGAAUUAAACAUCCCAAGCUAAACCUUCAAGUUAGCUGAGCAGGAAGCCCCAAAAGAUUAAGCCAAAAUGGGAUUCCUUCUAUAAGAUCAGGUUGUAAUAAAAUGAACUGCACAAGAUGAU